AAAUGGAAACUUUAGUUUUCAGCUAAAAACUAGCAUGUUAUUAACAUAUAUAUACCUACCUUUUUCCUUAUGAAAAGGUCCUUCUGGAAGAGGACACUGAAGAAAAUAUCCUUGGGAAUCAAGAGCUGUGUCACUUGCCUCUUCAUUUCCUGAUCUCUUCCUAAAACGAGGAGGCUAAAAUACAUCGCAGAUCACAGCUGGAUUUGGACACCAGGCAUCUCCUUUGCAGGGACUUGCGUGGAGCCUGAUUUAUUUAUGUAAACAUUUUGCUGCUCACUAGUCUCAGGAGUCAUCCGGGUGACCUUCAAUGACUCAUCAACCUGAGGACAGAGCAGGAGGAUGCAGGUUUUUCAACCAUGGAUGCCAUGUGUCAGGUCACGAGGAUCCUAGAACAAGUUCCGUUGCAAGUCAGCGUGGAUGGAUGCCAACGGAGGAGGCUGACCUCACCUGGGACUCACCAGCAAGGCCCCAGCAGCCGUGUCAGCUGGUGUCUGCUCUGAUUGGUUGGUGCCUGGACUGCUUGUCAAAUAUUUUGAGUAUCACAGCUACUGAUGACUCUGGCCUAAUACCAGGAAGUUUCAAAAGCCCCUUCCCCCAGUUUGGAUCACCCCACAGAGACAGAAUAAAAGAAAGAGACGGGCACACCCUGAAAUGAUGAUGACCCCCUCCCCAGGAGACUAGCAAAACACCAGUGACUAAGUUCACCUUAGACGGACUGAUGUUCCUAGUUUACCACCGAGUUACUGAAAGGGGCUUAACUGUUCUUCGAAGGAAGGGAUUUAUCAGCAUGUCCAAGAAUGAAAUUUUAAAAGAAAUAAAUAUUUGGAGUCUAUGUUUGAAAGUAGCAGAUACCUUUAGAGGGAUUUAAGGCAUGGUCUUUGUAGAGUAGUUACUUGCCCCUUAAAAAAUAUUUUGUUUGCCUGGAUCGACUAGGAU
Long non-coding RNA from Ailuropoda melanoleuca (giant panda), 936 nucleotides. RefSeq lists it as uncharacterized. NCBI's taxonomy places the organism in Eukaryota, Metazoa, Chordata, Mammalia, Carnivora, Ursidae. The record is from RefSeq and is a predicted model, not a curated record. The transcript has 3 exons.